This 253-nucleotide ribosomal RNA is filed under the name uncultured bacterium. RNAcentral's name for it is "partial 16S ribosomal RNA". It matches the Rfam family "Bacterial small subunit ribosomal RNA", at positions 524 to 776 of the family's 1533-position model. The record is from RNAcentral.
UACAGAGGGUGCAAGCGUUAAUCGGAAUUACUGGGCGUAAAGCGUGCGUAGACGGUUAUGUAAGUCAGAUGUGAAAGCCCCGGGCUCAACCUGGGAAUUGCAUUUGAGACUGCAUAGCUAGGGUGCGGAAGAGGGAAGCGGAAUUUCCGGUGUAGCGGUGAAAUGCGUAGAUAUCAGGAGGAACACCGGUGGCGAAGGCGGCUACCUGGACAGAAACUGACGCUGAGGCACGAAAGCUAGGGGAGCAAACAGG